Molecule: ribosomal RNA, 866 nt
Filed under: uncultured bacterium
Lineage: Bacteria
Description: bacterial SSU rRNA
Rfam family: Bacterial small subunit ribosomal RNA
Source: RNAcentral
UGCGUACGGGUGAUAUAUGCAGAAUCUUUUCUUUCAGUUCAGGACAAAAAUUUCUUUCGAGGAAUAAAUACUGAAUACAUUUUAAAGGUUUAUCUGCUGAAAGAUAUAUCUGCUUAAGAUUAAGUUGUUGGUAAUUUAAAAGCUUACCAAGCCGAUGAUCUUUAGUUGGUCUGAGAGGAUGAUCAACCACACUAAAACUGAAAUAAAGUCCAGGCUAAUACGUUGGUUAGCAGUGAGGAAUAUUGGACAAUGAACGCAAGUUUGAUCCAGCAAUACUAACUGGGUGAUGACGGCUUAUUUAAGUUGUAAGAUCCUUUAAUUAAAGAAGAUAAUGACAUUAUUUAAUUGAAUUAGUCCUGGCUAAUACUCGUGCCAGCAGCCGCGGUAAUACGGGAAGGGCAAGCAUUAUCCGGCAUGACUGGGCGUAAAGAGUCCGUAGACUGUAAAGUAAGUUCUUUGUUAAAUUUUAAGACUCAAUCUUAACACAGUAAUUAAUACUACUUUACUACGAGUUUAAUACAGAAAAGUAGAAUUUUAUACGAUAAAGGUGAAAUUUGUAGAUAUAUAAAGGAAUGCCAACAGCGAAGGCAAUUUUUUGGUAUAAACUGACGUUGAGGGACGAAAGCGUGGGUAGCAAACGGGAUAGAGACCCCGGUAGUCCAUGCCGUAAAUUCUGAGUGCUGUAAUUUAAUUGUAAUAUUGGAAAUAUUAUUUAGAUUUUCAAGCUAACGCAAUAAGCACUCCGCCUGAAGAGUACGAUCGCAAGAUUGAAACUCAAAGGAAUUGACGGGGGUCUAACACUAGUGGUGGAGCAUGUGGUUUAAUGCGAUAAUCCGCGCAAAACCUUACCAAUUCUUGACAUAGUU